UACGUAGGGGGCUAGCGUUGUCCGGAAUCAUUGGGCGUAAAGCGCGUGUAGGCGGUCCGGUAAGUCCGCUGUGAAAGUCGGGGGCUCAACCCUCGAAAGCCGGUGGAUACUGUCGGGCUAGAGUACGGAAGAGGCGAGUGGAAUUCCUGGUGUAGCGGUGAAAUGCGCAGAUAUCAGGAGGAACACCAAUUGCGAAGGCAGCUCGCUGGGACGUUACUGACGCUGAGACGCGAAAGCGUGGGGAGCGAACAGG
RNAcentral lists this ribosomal RNA (253 nucleotides) under uncultured bacterium. RNAcentral describes it as "partial 16S ribosomal RNA". It matches the Rfam family "Bacterial small subunit ribosomal RNA", at positions 524 to 776 of the family's 1533-position model. The record is from RNAcentral.